UUUAAAGAGAGUUUGAUCCUGGCUCAGGACGAACGCUGGCGGCGUGCCUAAUACAUGCAAGUCGAACGAACGGAGGAAGAGCUUGCUCUUCCAAAGUUAGUGGCGGACGGGUGAGUAACACGUGGGCAACCUGCCUGUAAGUUGGGGACAACUCCGGGAAACCGGGGCUAAUACCGAAUGAUAAAGUGUGGCGCAUGCCACGCUUUUGAAAGAUGGUUUCGGCUAUC
This 227-nucleotide ribosomal RNA is filed under the name Listeria monocytogenes. Its description in RNAcentral is "partial 16S ribosomal RNA". It matches the Rfam family "Bacterial small subunit ribosomal RNA", at positions 1 to 222 of the family's 1533-position model. Lineage: Bacteria; Bacillati; Bacillota; Bacilli; Caryophanales; Listeriaceae. The record is from RNAcentral.